GAACGCUGGCGGAAGGCUUAACACAUGCAAGUCGAGCGCCCUGCUUGCAGGGAGCGGCAGACGGGUGAGUAACGCGUGGGAACGUGCCUAUUGGUUCGGAAUAGCCCCGGGAAACUGGGUUUAAUACCGAAUGUGCCCUUCGGGGGAAAGAUUUAUCGCCAAAGGAUCGGCCCGCGUUAGAUUAGCUUGUUGGUGAGGUAACGGCUCACCAAGGCGACGAUCUAUAGCUGGUCUGAGAGGAUGAUCAGCCACACUGGAACUGAGACACGGUCCAGACUCCUACGGGAGGCAGCAGU
This 296-nucleotide ribosomal RNA is filed under the name Schmidingerella taraikaensis. Its description in RNAcentral is "partial Bacterial small subunit ribosomal RNA". It matches the Rfam family "Bacterial small subunit ribosomal RNA", at positions 31 to 355 of the family's 1533-position model. The record is from RNAcentral. Lineage: Eukaryota; Ciliophora; Spirotrichea; Tintinnida; Rhabdonellidae.